Molecule: ribosomal RNA, 253 nt
Filed under: uncultured bacterium
Lineage: Bacteria
Description: partial 16S ribosomal RNA
Rfam family: Bacterial small subunit ribosomal RNA
Source: RNAcentral
UACAGAGUGGGCAAGCGUUAUUCGGAAUUACUGGGCGUAAAGCGCACGUAGGCGGCUUUGUAAGUUAGAGGUGAAAGCCCAGGGCUCAACCCUGGAAUUGCCUUUAAGACUGCAUCGCUUGAACAUCGGAGAGGUAAGUGGAAUUCCGAGUGUAGAGGUGAAAUUCGUAGAUAUUCGGAAGAACACCAGUGGCGAAGGCGACUUACUGGACGAUUGUUGACGCUGAGGUGCGAAAGCGUGGGGAGCAAACAGG